CGCGUAGGCUGCGGGGUAAGUCGGGUGUGAAAUCUCAGGGCUCAACCCUGAAACUGCACUCGAUACUGCUCUGCUUGAGGACUGGAGAGGAGACUGGAAUUCACGGUGUAGCAGUGAAAUGCGUAGAUAUCGUGAGGAAGACCAGUGGCGAAGGCGGGUCUCUGGACAGUUCCUGACGCUGAGGCGCGAAGGCCAGGGGAGCAAACG
This 207-nucleotide ribosomal RNA is filed under the name uncultured bacterium. RNAcentral describes it as "partial 16S ribosomal RNA". It matches the Rfam family "Bacterial small subunit ribosomal RNA", at positions 568 to 774 of the family's 1533-position model. The record is from RNAcentral.